AGUAGCGCUGGGUGGUUGCUAACGCGCCAGCGAGCCGCGAAGAUAGGGGGCGGGGAAGAAGGAGGACGUGUCCCCCUCCCUCAUUCACGUUCAGACAUUUACCUGAACUUAUCACCUUCCCACCCCCAUCCUAUCCCAUCAAGUCUUUGCUCUAUCCUGAACCGGCUGACAGAACAUUGGUGUAGACUUGUUUUUGCCAACCUGGAAUAAAGCAAAGUUCUUGUGCACCCAAGAUCUGCUCUCCGUUGUAAGUCCUGCUCAGACCUGGUCUUAUUGGUUUGGAUAAAGAAAGAACCGGAAUCUUUCUCAUCCAAACUAGUUGCCAGCAUAUUUUUUAAGGCUACCUCCCUUCAAAUAUAAAAGGAGACGUUGAAUGUAAUCUCAAAUAAAUUAAAAGCCCUGGAAGUUUACACACAAGGAGGCAUUCUCUCUCCUAGGGGCACAAAAUUGUUUAAAAUUUGCAGAUAGGGUUCUUAAACACGAAGGUCCUUUUG
This is a long non-coding RNA of Cebus imitator (Panamanian white-faced capuchin), 494 nucleotides long. RefSeq lists it as uncharacterized. NCBI's taxonomy places the organism in Eukaryota, Metazoa, Chordata, Mammalia, Primates, Cebidae. The transcript is spliced from 2 exons. The record is from RefSeq and is a predicted model, not a curated record.